Molecule: ribosomal RNA, 253 nt
Filed under: uncultured bacterium
Lineage: Bacteria
Description: partial 16S ribosomal RNA
Rfam family: Bacterial small subunit ribosomal RNA
Source: RNAcentral
UACGAAGGGGGCUAGCGUUGCUCGGAAUUACUGGGCGUAAAGGGCGCGUAGGCGGACAGUUUAGUCAGCGGUGAAAGCCCAGGGCUCAACCUUGGAAUUGCCUUUGAUACUGGCUGUCUUGAGUUCGGGAGAGGUGAGUGGAAUGCCGAGUGUAGAGGUGAAAUUCGUAGAUAUUCGGCGGAACACCAGUGGCGAAGGCGACUCACUGGCCCGAUACUGACGCUGAGGCGCGAAAGCGUGGGGAGCAAACAGG